RNAcentral lists this ribosomal RNA (442 nucleotides) under uncultured bacterium. RNAcentral describes it as "bacterial SSU rRNA". It matches the Rfam family "Bacterial small subunit ribosomal RNA", at positions 639 to 1080 of the family's 1533-position model. The record is from RNAcentral.
AACUAGAGGAUGCGAGAGGUCUAGGGAACUCAAGGUGUAGGGGUGAAAUCCGUUGAUAUCUUGGGGAACACCAAAAGCGAAGGCACUAGACUGGCGCACUCCUGACACUGAAACACGAAAGCGUGGGUAGCGAAUGGGAUUAGAUACCCCAGUAGUCCACGCCCUAAACGAUGUUCAUUAGCUAUUCGGAGUAUCGACUCUCUGAGUGGCGUAGCUAACGCGUUAAAUGAACCGCCUGGGUAGUACGGCCGCAAGGCUAAAACUCAAAGGAAUAGACGGGGACUUGCACAAGCAGUGGAUUAUGUGGCUUAAUUCGACGCCAAACGAAGAACCUUACCAGGGUUUGAAACCUACACGCAAGCUUUAGGAAACUUUAGCCCUCGCAAGACGGGUAGGCAGGUGAUGCAUGGCCGUCGUCAGUUCGUGGUUUGAAUUGUUCCCU